UACAGUGGCGUACGGGUGAGUAACACGUGGAUGAUCUACCUUUGAGUGGGGAAUACCGCUGGGAAACCGGCGACAAUACCGCAUAAUCCCGAGAGGGGAAAGCUUUCGCAAGAAGGCGCUCGACAGAGGAGUCCGCGGCCGAUUAGCUAGUUGGUAAGGUAAUGGCUUACCAAGGCAACGAUCGGUAGCCGGCCUGAGAGGGCACACGGCCACACUGGCACUGAAACACGGGCCAG
Molecule: ribosomal RNA, 236 nt
Filed under: uncultured bacterium
Lineage: Bacteria
Description: partial 16S ribosomal RNA
Rfam family: Bacterial small subunit ribosomal RNA
Source: RNAcentral